This 716-nucleotide long non-coding RNA is filed under the name Homo sapiens (human). Its description in RNAcentral is "HSALNT0225918". Lineage: Eukaryota; Metazoa; Chordata; Mammalia; Primates; Hominidae. The record is from RNAcentral.
UUUGUGAACAAGGAAACAUUGGUGGCCCUAAUAAGGGAGCUUCCACGGAGCUAGGGGACAAUAGUCAGGCUGGAGAGAGUUGAAGAGGUAUGGAUCGUGGAGGUGGGGAAAUGGAGGCAGCGUGUAGACAGCCAUUUUGGAGACCCUCUGUCGUGAAGGAGGGCAGAGAAUGAGAUGAAGAAAUGGGGCGGAGGGUGUGGUUUUUUCAGGUAGAAGGUGCUGGAAUCUGCAUGUCCAAGGAUGAUCCAGUGUACAGGCUGAAGGCUAUGAACAUAAGCCCUGCCCAAAUGGGGAGAACCACCUGCUGUCAAGAGUCAGCCAGCUGCAGUAUCAGCCCCUGAAGAGGACGAGCUAGCAGUGCUGAUGUCAGGGAACUUUCCACUCCUCAAACCGACAGGAACAGGACCGUGAGCACAAAACGUGAACACGGACCAGAACGAGUUGGCAUGCAGGACUAGGUUGCCUUGACGACUCUGAGUUCUGACAGGGAAAUACAAUGAGUUUUAUGUGGACAGAGUUCCACGGUCUAUUGCAAAAUCAAUGUGCUGUUUGAAUGAAUCAUCACUUCCAACCAUUGGUCAUUGGUGUCUGAAUCUUGAUUGCAGAUGAAGCACUGAGUCAUGACUGUAAAAUGCCACAGUAUUUAUGAAAACCAAGAAGGUUUUUUAUUUAUCCUGACUAGCUAAAUCAAGGCCUGGAAUGAUGAUAUGUCCCAG